GGGCCCGCACAAGCGGUGGAGUAUGUGGUUUAAUUCGAUGCAACGCGAAGAACCUUACCAGGGUUUGACAUCCUGCGAAUCUCUUGGAAACAGGAGAGUGCCUUCGGGAACGCAGUGACAGGUGGUGCAUGGCUGUCGUCAGCUCGUGUCGUGAGAUGUUGGGUUAAGUCCCGCAACGAGCGCAACCCACGUCUUUAGUUGCCACCAUUUAGUUGGGCACUUUAAAAGAACUGCCAGUGAUAAGCUGGAGGAAGGUGGGGAUGACGUCAAGUCCUCAUGGCCCUUAUGUGUUGGGCUACACACGUGCUACAAUGGUACUUACAAUGGGAAGCAAAGAGGCGACUCUUAGCUAAUCCCUAAAAUGUACCUCAGUUCGGAUUGUACUCUGUAACUCGAGUGCAUGAAGCUGGAAUUGCUAGUAAUCGCGGAU
This 430-nucleotide ribosomal RNA is filed under the name uncultured bacterium. Its description in RNAcentral is "bacterial SSU rRNA". It matches the Rfam family "Bacterial small subunit ribosomal RNA", at positions 917 to 1349 of the family's 1533-position model. The record is from RNAcentral.